GACGAACGCUGGCGGCGUGCCUAAUACAUGCAAGUAGAACGCUGAAGCUUGGUGCUUGCACCGAGCGGAUGAGUUGCGAACGGGUGAGUAACGCGUAGGUAACCUGCCUCUUAGCGGGGGAUAACUAUUGGAAACGAUAGCUAAUACCGCAUAAAAGUCGACAUUGCAUGAUGUUGACUUGAAAGGUGCAAUUGCAUCACUAAGAGAUGGACCUGCGUUGUAUUAGCUAGUUGGUGAGGUAACGGCUCACCAAGGCGACGAUACAUAGCCGACCUGAGAGGGUGAUCGGCCACACUGGGACUGAGACACGGCCCAGACUCCUACGGGAGGCAGCAGUAGGGAAUCUUCGGCAAUGGACGGAAGUCUGACCGAGCAACGCCGCGUGAGUGAAGAAGGUUUUCGGAUCGUAAAUGCUCUGUUGUAAUGAGAUAGAACGAUGUGUGAUGAUGUGGAAAUGUUCACACUGUG
Molecule: ribosomal RNA, 468 nt
Filed under: Streptococcus parasanguinis
Lineage: Bacteria; Bacillati; Bacillota; Bacilli; Lactobacillales; Streptococcaceae
Description: bacterial SSU rRNA
Rfam family: Bacterial small subunit ribosomal RNA
Source: RNAcentral